AGCGAACGCUGGCGGCAGGCCUAACACAUGCAAGUCGAACGAACCUUUCGGGGUUAGUGGCGGACGGGUGAGUAACACGUGGGAACGUGCCUUUAGGUUCGGAAUAACUCAGGGAAACUUGUGCUAAUACCGAAUGUGCCCUUCGGGGGAAAGAUUUAUCGCCUUUAGAGCGGCCCGCGUCUGAUUAGCUAGUUGGUUGAGGUAAUGGCUCACCAAGGCGACGAUCAGUAGCUGGUCUGAGAGGAUGAUCAGCCACAUUGGGACUGAGACACGGCCCAAACUCCUACGUGAGGCAGCAGUGGGGAAUCUUGCGCAAUGGGCGAAAGCCUGACGCAGCCAUGCCGCGUGAAUGAUGAAGGUCUUAGGAUUGUAAAAUUCUUUCACCGGGGACGAUAAUGACGGUACCCGGAGAAGAAGCCCCGGCUAACUUCGU
This 433-nucleotide ribosomal RNA is filed under the name uncultured bacterium. RNAcentral's name for it is "partial 16S ribosomal RNA". It matches the Rfam family "Bacterial small subunit ribosomal RNA", at positions 29 to 506 of the family's 1533-position model. The record is from RNAcentral.